AUUGAACGCCGGCGGCAGGCCUAACACAUGCAAGUCGAGCGGCAGCGGGAAAGUAGCUUGCUACUUUUGCCGGCGAGCGGCGGACGGGUGAGUAAUGCCUGGGGAUCUGCCCAGUCGAGGGGGAUAACUACUGGAAACGGUAGCUAAUACCGCAUACGCCCUACGGGGGAAAGCAGGGGACCUUCGGGCCUUGCGCGAUUGGAUGAACCCAGGUGGGAUUAGCUAGUUGGUGAGGUAAUGGCUCACCAAGGCGACGAUCCCUAGCUGGUCUGGGAGGAUGAUCAGCCACACUGGAACUGAGACACGGUCCAGACUCCUACGGGAGGCAGCAGUGGGGAAUAUUGCACAAUGGGGGAAACCCUGAUGCAGCCAUGCCGCGUGUGUGAAGAAGGCCUUCGGGUUGUAAAGCACUUUCAGCGAGGAGGAAAAGUUGGUAGCUAAUAACUGCCAGCUGUGACGUUACUCGCAGAAGAAGCACCGGCUAACUCCGUGCCAGCCGCCGCGGUAA
This 508-nucleotide ribosomal RNA is filed under the name uncultured bacterium. Its description in RNAcentral is "partial 16S ribosomal RNA". It matches the Rfam family "Bacterial small subunit ribosomal RNA", at positions 29 to 523 of the family's 1533-position model. The record is from RNAcentral.